AGAGCGGGAGAAGGAGCACCAGCAGCACAACUCCUGCAAGUUAAACAAAAAAAAGAAAAAACAGGCUCGUCCGCGGGACAGCGCCGAGGCUCGGCAUCCCGCCAGGCGCUCCCGUCCCCCGCCAGAUCCACCUCGCCGGCGGUCCCGCCGCGGUGAUGGGAGGAAGCCUGGCCGAGGCCGCCAAGUCUUGCACGCUCUAAGUCGCCUUGGCGCUGCGGCUGGAAGAUGCUCCGCGCGGCAGGACCGCGUUGCUGCUGACGAGCCCCCGCGGAGUGGAAGAUGCCUUGCUUUGGGAUUACGCGUGGAGAAAGGCCAUCAGUCAAGGGGAGAGCUGGCUGGUGAACCUCUCUGACUUUCCCCCCCUCCGGGGAAGUGGCUUCAAUGGCUCCAUCUCCCAGGAGAAGCAGUAGGAAAGAUGCCAACGCCUUGCCAAGCAUGUCCUCAACUUUCUGGGCUAUCAUGAUCCUGGCUAGUCUCCUAAUCGCUUACUGCACUGAAAUAACGCAACAGCCCCAGAUGAAUCUACCUCCUCAGCUACCUCCAAAUAUUGUCUCCUCUUUAACAAACAAUGCAGCUAAAACCAUCCAAGGAGAAAAACAGCAAGAUCAGCUCUUCCUACCCAGCUCCAGAACAGAAGCUAGUGGCAGCAGAUAAAUUAUGGAAGUAAGGGAUUUGGAUGAGUGUGAGCAGUCCCUGAGGACAAUGGAGAGGGCUCUGCAGCUUUGGAAGGCUCAGGAAACAAGGUAUCUGUUGUGCAUCUGUGUAUCCCUAAUAACUUUUUAAUUUGGGGGUGGAGUUCUGCCAAAUUUUUCAGAGAGGCAGAAGUCGCAAAUAUAAUUAAGUUGCUGAAGGUUUGUGAAAAUACGUGAUAAUUAGAAGACAGAGACCCCAUAAAUGUCCCAACUGUGGGAACAGAUAUUACGUCAGCUCAUGUGCUAUUAAAUCUAGAAAAUCCACAUUGUCUUCAAAAAUAUCCAACUGUGAGAAAUCGGAGCUUACAGUCAAUUACAAGAUGUGAACAUUUAGGAAACYAGGCAUCAUUUGUUCA
Molecule: long non-coding RNA, 1048 nt
Filed under: Dromaius novaehollandiae (emu)
Lineage: Eukaryota; Metazoa; Chordata; Aves; Casuariiformes; Dromaiidae
Description: lncRNA (ENSDNVG00000010206.1)
Source: RNAcentral